This is a non-coding RNA of Cyanistes caeruleus (blue tit), 4412 nucleotides long. Lineage: Eukaryota; Metazoa; Chordata; Aves; Passeriformes; Paridae. The record is from RefSeq and is a predicted model, not a curated record.
GCCAGACAGCUCUGCCCAAAUCCAAGAUCACCUAUGACUUUGUCAUUCCUUGACAGAAAACUGUUGAAACUCUUCCUGGAUACUGAAUGAUGGCUACAGCCCAGUCCCUUUGUCUGGAGCUGUGGUGGUGCCACAUUGCUGUGACCCCAUUGCACCAGUCAGCACUGCAGGAUCCACUUCCCCAGGGCUGGAUCCUGAUCCCUCUGCCAUAUCAGCCAGGUGAGGAGAAGGACAGACCCCUGCCACCACCAAGGACAGCCCAAAUCUCUCCUGUGCCUCGUCCAAAAAGGUAUUUUGCACAGAGAAAAAACUAUGCUCUCUUCUAAAGGGAGAGAAUGAGUAUCUAAGAUCAUACAUCUAAGUCUCCAUGGUGUGAAAACCCCAGGCAAUCAUGAACAAAACUGCUUCAGCUCUAUGCCAGAGUCUUCCUGGGAGGAGGUGACUUGCAGAGUUGUGAGUUAGGAGUCAGUGUGAGCAGAAAUCCUCCUGCAGAUGCAGGGCGCUCACCGGAAACAAUUGAGAAUGGCAGUGGUAUCCUGCAGGAUGUGUGCGACGUGCUCAGCUGGGGCUUGAUUUACACAGGGCCACAUUAUAGAUUAUACAUUCUGGUAAUUGUGGUAUUGUUAUUGCUGGGCUGGAUCUAAGCACAGGAAGUACAUAUAAGCACAUUUGAAGUGAUAAUAUCCACUCCCGUUUGAAAAGCAAUAUUUUAUUCUCGUACAUGAUACAGCGUUUGCGAGGGAAAAUAGAUAAUUUACUAACUGGUACUAGAAAUACUAGAAAAAAAAUACUAGAAAAUAGGUAAUUUACUAAUUAGUACUAGAAAUUCUAGAAAAAAAAAAUACUAGAAAAUAGAUAAUUUACUAACUAGCAUGACUUCUAGGGAAAAAGCUGAUUCAUUAUGGGAAGCCGCAAUCAGGAUUUACAAAUAAAUCCACUUAAAUUUUUACUCUUAAUCACUUUAAUUUAUUUUUUUUCAGGCUGUAAUCCAAGAUCAGGAAGGAGACAAUGCAUUGCCAUCUGAAACACAAGAAAGAUCAUAAUAAGUUUUCAGUGUGCCACCAAAACCACAGUGCUAGGUUUCUGUUGAGGCGAAUGAGUAAUACCAUUCUAGCUGUGAAGGUUGCUGUGAGUGGGCAAUAAUUCCAUCUAACUGAUAGGGCAGAUUAUGUAUUCUGCAAGAAAAUAAAUAAUCCCAGGUAAAAUCUUGCCCUAUUUCUUUAGGUCAAUAAGAGAACCCACCGACUGUACCCACUUGGCUGAAGUUGCUUUAUGCAUACUUGUCUAACUUUAGGAUUCAGGAACAGGUCUGUUCUCCAUCCUACAUCCCCAAAACAGCCUUGCUCAGGAACACAUUGCCUCCAACCUUGGUGUGGAGCAGGAAUCUGUUCCUGCUGCUUCUCCCAGGAUGUGAGAUGACCCCCAGCUCUGCAGCUGCAGACAGAAUGUGUCAAGGCCCCUCUCAGGGUCUCUCUGCCCAUUUCUCUUUAACAGUGUAGGCUUCAGACCUUUCUGUGUACCCAGGGAAUUUACUGAUCAGGGCUCCCUCCUGGAGGGGGAUAUGGGUCUAUUCAGAACAGGGAUGCAAUAGCCAUUCAAAUUUUGUGUGCCAACCUGUUCUCCACAGACAACACAAACUGACAGAACACAGGUAACAUAUUGUGAAUGCUGUGCCUAUUUCUUACUUUGUUUUGCCAGGGAAAAUAGAUUAAAAUUGGUAUUAAGUUUCCUUCUUGUUCCUCCAAUAAUAGAAAAUUACCAGGGAAGAGAAAAUAAGACAGAUUUUGUUCUCUAGAAAGGCCUUCAGAUAAAUGGUUUUUUUUUUCUUUUAAUAUUAUGAAACAUUCUUGUCUGCCUUAAUAGAUGAGAAAAGUAACAGUAGAACUGUGAAACAAAUUAGUACAUCAGAAAUAUCAAUCCUUGGACCAUAGCUAAAUCUAUAUUCAUAUUUUUAAUAGUACUGCACAUCAAUAAUACAAAGCUAUAGUAAUUCUAUACUGUAUACAUUGAUUUGUUGAAAUGAUAGUUAUGGUUGAAGUUCUAAACAGACACUGCAACGUAAAAUAAAGGACUGACCUACUAACAGAUCUAAUAAAAACAUCUAAUAAGAAAGUAAGUAAUACAGUAAGUAAUACAGUAAGUAAUCCAAAGCCUAAUGAUUUGUUUCAGUUUCAUGAAAAACUUUUUAUUGUUUUCUGUCUGUGGUAUUUAACAUUUAGAAUACGUUUUCCUUUAUAAAUUUUAAAUGCUUCUGGUCUGAAAUUUUUGUGCAGACAGUCAAACUAACAUUGAACAGAAGUAUACUUUUUUCAGAUGUCAUACUUACAAAAUUUUGAAAUUAAAAUCCUGCUGGUGCCUCCUAAUAUUAAUAUGCCUUUUCAUUGGGGUAGGCUCAUUACAGUCUUCUUUUGGAAGUGUCAUCUGCUUAAGUAAGAUUUGAUUUACAAAGCAAUGCUAAUAUGUUUCAUUUUAAUUAAGAUCUUCGCUAUUUUCCUAAAUAGGAAUAUCUGUCCCUAGUUUUAACUUGUAAUACCCUGUUUAACAAAAGAGCAGCUUCAAUCAUACUGAGAGUACUUAUGCAAGUUUUCACAGUUGAUUGCUGGGAUGAGAGCUGUAAAAACAAGGAUCAGGUGAAGAUCCUUUCUUGGAUAUGAGCCUCUAUUUUUAUUUGUAGUUCAUAAGUCUACUUAUUAAAUAGACAAUAAUGACUAUAAUCAAAUAUAUUUAUAUUUUUGUGUGUCAUUGGAGUCAAACAGCAACCUACAUGGCUGCAGUGUGUGUGAAUGUUCCUGCAGUAAAUUCAGGUUUUGGCUUUCAUUAGGCAGUAAGACAUGUUGCCUGCAAAAAUAUCACACAACUUGAAAAGGAGACUCUAAUUUCAUAUGGGAAAUUAUUUCAUCCCUCUUACAUGAGAUCAAAAUCACUAUGCCUUUAAUCAUUACUAUGGAAAUGAAAAUACCAGGCCACCAGGAUUUGCAAUUAACUUGAGACAUCCAGAGGAAAUUCUGUAAGUUGCUUUAGUCUCUGUAUUUUGUCUUGUCUGAAAUCUGUCUGAUUUUUGUUUGAGUUUAUAACAGCAAUUGUUAGUGGAAAUGUCUGUGUUUCAAUUGAAGUGUUCUAACGAGCUUUCUGGUCUCACUUGAGCAGAAUAACAACACCCAAAACAACUGAGAUGUCUUUAGGUCUUAGAUACUUGGUUUAAAUAUUCUAUGAAGUACUUGAAAAGGUAAGAGUUCCUUAAGCAUCAGAAGGCAGAGAGUUUAAAGAUCAGACUGAGCCAUGCCUCCUGCAUUUAGUUCUCCAAUAAAUCUCAGGACACUGACCAGCUGGACUGCCAGAUGUCCUCCUCCACAUUUUGGGUAAGUAAUCACUUGGGCCUGGGAUCUGCUGGACUACCUAUGCCUGAAACCAUUUGCAGUUAUUUUAGGUGACAUACUAAAGUAGUCAGCAUGAGCUUAAAAGACUUUAUCCAGCACUUUGACAGCAUGCCAGAAGAAAUUCCUUGGGAUUUACAGUCUAAGAUUUCAUUUCAAUUAAUAGUCAGGAUGCUGAAUAUUAUUUAUUCCACUCUAAAGCUCAUUUUAAUCUAAAAUAUGAUCAGAUAGGGUCAAUGCAGGCAAAAUUAUACUUCUUCCUACAUAGAAGCCCAUCUAGAGAUAAGCCAGUUUGCUCUCCUGUCCCUAGAUUUGGUCUGCAAGGAUAACAGGAAUGGCGACUGCAGCUGGCCUAAGAUUCCCUUGCACUUGAACCUCAUAUAAUUAGGCAAGUCUACUUUCCCGCCAAAUAUAAUUAUUAUAAACAACAAUAUUAUGAAUUGAAACUUCUCAAAGUUGUUAAAUUCUGUCGAGUUUGGAAGAGGAGCUUUAUCAGGCAGAUCCUCAGCGAGGCAUUGGAGCCCAGUGGGCAGAGUGCUGGACAGGGAUUGAGAAAUCUGAGUUCUCUUCCAGACUCUCCUGACUUUUAAACGACCUUGAGCUGUCACUCCCUUGUGCUGUGGUUUCACAGUCUGUAUGAGCAGGAUAAUAAUCCUCCACAAAGGUUUGAGAGUUGCUGAAGGAAGGACCUGUAUGAACACAACAUUUCUUGCCCUAGCCUGAGCUAUGUGCAGCUGUGGUUAGAGGUGGCCAGGAUCUGGUCAAUUCCAUCCUCAUCUAUUCCAGAAAAUCUUCAUUUUCAUUGUUAGACUCCUUGCUUUCAGCUGUCUGUCAAAACACAUGUUCAUGUUAAAGGUCUUUCUUAUCUUUCAGACCAUUACAAAAUGUCUCCAGAAAAUUUCGUUUGAUUUAGUUCUGCAUUAAUACUCAGUUCAUAUUCCUGUUACUGGGAACUGCAAAGUGCCUCUCAGAAUCAUACAGAUAAUUACUUAACAUGGAUAACGUAUCUUUGACCUAAAAAAGAAAAUACUUUUGCAA